GUGAGUGUGUAGUGAGACAAGUGCUGCAUGUGAGUGAAGAACGGACCGAGAGAGAAGCAGCAGUUUACAUGUUCUUUUGGUGUUGAUUACGGCCUACAGUAACCUGUGUACGUUCAUAGAUAAAUCUGUAAAUAAGGAGAGCUGAAGUCUUGCGUUGUAUCUUCUGCCCACAUGUUGAGCCGCACGGAGAAGCUCUAUCGCCGUCUAUGAAAACCUCAAGAUAUGACGGAAAAGCUAACUAGUAAGCAUCCAAUGCCGAGGCUGGAAAGUGGUAAACAAAGGGAAAAGCCCUCCAGUCAUCCAGACUGAGUUAGCCCAGGACUAUUUCCUACAGGCCCUGUAAGCUGACCGGCGUGCCCAGACAUUACCGCUCCAGCCAGGCGGUCUUGUGACUCACACCAUUACAACACAGACAACAGAGACUGUGACCGACAUGCCUGUGUGCUACAGCCCCCCAGCCCCUGCUGCACAGCCUCCUCGGCCUGUCCUCCUACUACAGGAAGUUUGUGAAAGGAUUAUACUGCAUAGCUGUGCCCCUGCUCUACCUGCUAGAAAAGAGGGAGACGUCCUCAUGGACAGAUAAGUAUGCCAGCAACGUCGGCUAAGGUGCUGUUUUGACCCAGGUGACACCUGAGGGAGAAAGAGUGGUGGCGUACUAAAGCAGGACAUUCAACAAGGCUGAACGUUGCUAAUGUGUCACCAGGCGGGAACUGCUCGCUGUGGUCAGCGCCAUCCGGCACUUCAAAUAUUACUUUUGGGGCCUCCACUUCACGGUCCUGACCGAUCACUCCGCCUCACAGUGGUUAAUGUCCUUCAGGUAGCUUGAAGGCCUACUGGCACAUAUGAUUUCACAGUUGUCCAUAGAAUAGGUGCACAGCAUGGCAACGCAGAUGCACUCUUGUUUAUCUUGUGGUCCAGUCAGUAGUUUAAAGGUUUCAGUUUGUGGCAAUAGAGGAUGCCACUGGGGUCUCCCAAACACAGCCAGAGAUGAACAGGUUUCUUGUCAUCAGUUUGUUUUCCUCAGGGACUCUGAGCAGAAACAAUUUGCUAGAAAAAUAGCUAAUCUACACAGUCUUUCAUGCGUGGCAGGGGAUAAGCAUCUGGUUUUGUUGUACCAUUUACCUUCCCGUAGUCAGGACAGGGACUGAGGACUAUAAUCAGCUUUAUCCACAAGCAAGCACGGAGAUGCCCAACUUUAUUUAUUUUUCCUUUACCUUAAGUUUUGCCUGAGAUACCCUGUAAAACCAAGUCAAUGUCAUGUUCAAACAAGUGUGUAUGAAUUGGAACAUCAUUAAACAAACACAAGUAAUUGUUUGACGAACGCAGACAGCUCAGCGCACCAUUCACCAUUCAGGCUCUCAUUAGGUGAAACCACACCAUCUUCUUCAUGUACAGACCUACAGCAGCUAGUGAGUGUCUUCAAACAGUGUCUGUCACUAACACAGGUUUCACAGUCUGCUCUGGCACUCUCCCCAGUUUCAUAAGAUGGUGACUCACGAGAAUCAAAAAUGGCUUUAACAAAUUCAUCCAUAAUAACUCCCCAAACCCCCAAGUGUCCCUACUGAUCAUGCAAGGUCCUCAGUACCUCUUCGCAAAACUUUGAAGGAAGAACAACCUGAAAAAAUGGAUAACCGACACAGUUAACGCCACAAGGAACCCAUUUCCUCACUAACAACUAAUCCUGACACAGAUAACCCAUAGCAGCACUCUUCCCAUCAGCCUCUGGUAUCACUUUUUUCAAACAGCUCACUAAGUGAAGGAUCAGCUUGCUUCUCAGCUGCCAGGACACUGCAAGGGACUGUUAAAAGAUAGUCAGGCAUGGAAACAGAGGGGCUCCCAGUCCCCUCUGUGGUGCUCUGCUCAACUUCAGGUUCUGCCUUCUCAUGGUAUAUAGCUCUUUAACUGCACAGGCUGUAAACACGUCUAGGAAGCACUGCACACUCUCAUCAGGCACUGUAGUGACAGAAAGAGAGGAUGUCAUUACAGGAGAUGGUGGACAGCUAGCCCACACACGGCUACCUCACAGAUCAUUCCCCAGAAUGAUAUCCACCCCUGGGAUUGGCAGUAAGGGUGCACCCCCAUACCUCACCCUGUACCAAGCCACAACCAAGCUCUAACUUAUGCACUGGAAGACGCAACACCGUCAAACCAAUUUCCAGCAUCGGAAUGUACUGUCAUGUGUUAGUACGCUGCUGCAAAAGCAGUUCUUUAGCCUGUUCAAAUGUUAACGCAGCCUAAGACUCUGGAGAAACAGCAGCAGGGAAUUUAGCGUCAAAGACACCAAUUCCCAACAGAUUAUCACAACAUCCUCACAGCGCUCUAAUAACUCCUGAUGGAGCACUCAGAAAUUAAUCCACAGUAGCCUGGACUGAAAGACACAGCUAACGUGCCUGAAUAUUGAUAAUCAAACCCUGUGCACACUGGCACAUCCUGACACAGCUGUUAUGGGAAUGCAUAAAACAAAAAUACCAGUUCAGAUAUUUGGCAAUAAAAACACUCACUGAUUUUAUAAGGACCUGUAUUACUUUAAUAUGAAUAUGUGUCUCUUAGCCUAACUAUAAAUUUAGAAAAGUCACUAACUGAUCUGGCAUAGAGAGAUCAUUUAAAGUAAAUUUUGACUUUUAUUAAAUAUUGUGGUGUAUAGUGGUGACAAUUUCACACAAAUUACCUACUACAGAAUCAUAUUAAAUGUACAGUUAUGUGUUUAGAACUAUAAGUGUGGUCUGAGAAUUAUUGUCUGUCCCCUAAGAUUCAUGCAGUUACACAACUUUGUCUUACAGUGAAAAGCACAGUUAACACAAUGUCAAACAGUGACAGUGUUGAAAUGUUCAAUACAUGCUUGUAUAACUACA
Molecule: long non-coding RNA, 2852 nt
Organism: Pleuronectes platessa (European plaice)
Lineage: Eukaryota; Metazoa; Chordata; Actinopteri; Pleuronectiformes; Pleuronectidae
Exons: 2
Source: RefSeq, a predicted model, not a curated record